RNAcentral lists this ribosomal RNA (253 nucleotides) under uncultured bacterium. Its description in RNAcentral is "partial 16S ribosomal RNA". It matches the Rfam family "Bacterial small subunit ribosomal RNA", at positions 524 to 776 of the family's 1533-position model. The record is from RNAcentral.
UACGUAGGGUGCGAGCGUUGCCCGGAUUUAUUGGGCGUAAAGGGCGCGUAGGCGGCCACGCACGUCCGUUGUGAAAUCGCCCGGCUCAACUGGGCGGGGUCAGCGGAUACGGUGUGGCUCGAGCAAGCUAGGGGGCAAUGGAAUUCCCGGUGUAUUGGUGGAAUGCGUAGAUAUCGGGAGGAACACCAGUGGCGAAGGCGGUUGCCUGGAGCUUUGCUGACGCUGAGGCGCGAAAGCGUGGGGAGCGAUCCGG